RNAcentral lists this ribosomal RNA (441 nucleotides) under uncultured bacterium. RNAcentral's name for it is "partial 16S ribosomal RNA". It matches the Rfam family "Bacterial small subunit ribosomal RNA", at positions 338 to 795 of the family's 1533-position model. The record is from RNAcentral.
CCUACGGGUGGCAGCAGUGGGGAAUAUUGCACAAUGGGGGAAACCCUGAUGCAGCGACGCCGCGUGAGUGAAGAAGUCUUUCGGUAUGUAAAGCUCUAUCAGCAGGGAAGAAAAAAGACGGUCCCUGACCAAUAAGCCCCGGCUAACUACGUGCCAGCAGCCGCGGUAAUACGGAGGGGGCAAGCGUUAUCCGGAUUUACUGGGUGUAAAGGGAGCGUAGACGGUGCGGGAAGUCUGAAGUGAACGGCAGGGGCUGAACCCCUGAACUGCCUUUGAAACUGCCAUGCUAGAGUGCUGGAGAGGUACGUGGAAUUCCUGGUGUAGCGGUGAAAUGCGUAGAUAUUAGGAGGAACACCAGUGGCGAAGGCAGCUUACUGGACAGUAACUGACGUUGAGGCACGAAAGCGUGGGGAGCAAACAGGAUUAGAUACCCCAGUAGUC